RNAcentral lists this long non-coding RNA (736 nucleotides) under Homo sapiens (human). RNAcentral describes it as "non-protein coding lnc-SLC15A4-18:1". Lineage: Eukaryota; Metazoa; Chordata; Mammalia; Primates; Hominidae. The record is from RNAcentral.
AAGAUGGGCAGCUCCUUCCUUGCCAUUGGCUGUCAGAAACUCAUUGAAGUGGAUGAAUGACAACUUUGUACCUCUGCUUUGGACCAUACGCUUAUGAGAAGCAUAUGGCCACAGAAGUUGUUGUUGACACUCUGGGUGAAAUGUGAAAAGGUCCCAGUGUCUGAGUCUAUGAUAACAACCAAUAUAUCUUCCCCAUAAAGCAGGGUAUCUUGACCUUGCCCACCUGCUACUGAAUGAGGGGCACUCCUAUUACAGCAGACCCAGGAGAACUGGGGGGAAAAAAAGAGGAAGUCUGCUCAGGCUUACAUUGGCGUGCAUAGAUCCAAAUCUGAGUGUUCUCAACUUGAAUACUGGGAAAAAAAUGAAGAAUUUUUUUUGGACUGACUGAUAUUACUGUGCCUUGUCACUUGAGGACUAAAAGAGCUAACAGAAUCUGCAAACUUUCAGUCACCCCAAAGAAGAUUAUUUCCACCAGUACAUUUUCAGAAAGCCCCUGAACAUAGAAGAUAAUAAACCAAGGACCAAAGCUCCCAAGAUUCACCAUUUUAUUACUCCACUUUUCCUAGAACACAAUGUCAAUGUAUUGCUCUGAAGAGACAAUGUACUAAGAAAAGCACAAAGAGAUCAGAGUACACUAAGCUUCUGACCAAAAGAAUAAAACAGGGUCAAAGAAAAAUAUCAGAAACAGAUUGCCAAGAGAUGGGGGCUGUCCUCUCUGAGAGUUUCUACUCCAAGU